Molecule: long non-coding RNA, 3153 nt
Organism: Oncorhynchus tshawytscha (Chinook salmon)
Lineage: Eukaryota; Metazoa; Chordata; Actinopteri; Salmoniformes; Salmonidae
Source: Ensembl
GUUGGAAUAGAGCCAUAUAGAAUAGAGGCAGAGACAGAUGGAAUAGAGACCGAUAGAGUAUACCUUGAUAGAGUAAAGCCAGAUAGAAUAGAGCCAGAUAGAAUAGAGCCAGAUAGAAUAGAGCCAGAUAGAGUAGAGACAGCUAGAAUAGAGACAGAUAGAAUAGAGACUGAGACAGAUGGAAUAGAACAAGACAGAUGGAAUAGAGACCGAUAGAGUAUACCUUGAUAGAGUAGAGCCAGAUAGAAUAGAGCCAGAUAGAAUAGAGCCAGAUAGAGUAGAGCCAGAUAGAAUAGAGCCAGAUAGAAUAGUCAUAUGGAAAGAGACAGAUAGAGUAGAGACAGAUAGAGUAGAGACAGAUAGAAUAGUCAUAUGGAAAGAGACAGAUAGAAUAGUCAUAUGGAAAGAGACAGAUAGAGUAGAGACAAAGACAGAUAGAAUUCAGCCAGAUCGAAUAGAGCCAGAUAGAGUAGAGCCAGAUAGAGUAGAGCCAGGUCGAGUAUAGCCAGAUGGAGUAGAGCCAGAUGGAGUAGAGCCAGCUGGAGUAGAGACUGAUACAAUAGAGCCAGAUAGAAUAGAGCCAUAGCCAGAUGGAGUAGAGACAGAUGGAGUAGUGCCAGAUGGAGUGGAGCCAGAUGGAAAAGAGCCAGAUAGAGUAGAGACUGAUAGAAUAGAGACAGAUAGAGUAGAGACUUGUAGCAUAGAGCCAUAUACAGAUGGAAUAGAGACAGAUAGAAUAGUACCAGAUAGAGUACAGCCAGAUAGAAUAGAGCUGGAGACAGAUAUAAAAGAGCCAGAUAGAAUAGAGCCAGAGAUAUAUGGAAUAGAGACAGUUGGAAUAUAGACAGAUAGAGUAGAGCCAGAUGGAGUAGAGCCAGAUAGAUUAGAGCAAGACAGAGUAUAGCCAGAUUUAAUAGAUCCAGCUAGAAUAGUGCCAGAUGGAGUAGAGCCAGAUAGAUUAGAGCAAGACAGAGUAUAGCCAGAUAGAAUAGAUCCAGCUAGAAUAGAGCCUGAUAGAGUAGAGACAGAGACAGAUGGAAUAGAGACAUAUAGAAUAGAGCCAGAGACAGAUGGAAUAGAGCCAUAUAGAAUAAAGGCAGAGACAGAUAGAAAAGAGACAGAUAGAAUAGAGGCAGAGACAUAUGGAAUAGAGACAGAUACAGCCAGAUGGAGUAGAUAGAGGCAGAGACAGAUAGAGUAGAGAAAGAUAAAAUAGAGACAGAGAGAUAUUGAAUAUAGCCAGAUGGAGUAGAGCCAGAUAGAUAGAGCCAGAUAUAGUAGAGACAGAUAAAAUAGAGACAGAGACAUAUUGAAUAUAGCCAGAUGGAUUAGAGCCAGAUGGAACAGAGAGAUAUUGAAUAUAGCCAGAUGGAUUAGAGCCAUAUAGAAUGGAGCCAGAGACUGAUAGAAUAGAGACCGAUAGAAUAGAGACUGAUAGAGUGGAGACAGCUGGAAUAGAGACAGAUAGAAUAGAGCCAGAGACGGAUAGAAAAGAGACAGAUAAAAGAGGUGGAUACAGAUGGAAUAGAGCCAGAUAGAGUAGAGACAGAUAAAAUAGAGACAGAGACAUAUUGAAUAUAGCCAGAUGGAUUAGAGCCAGAUGGAGAAGAGGCAGAUGGAAUAGAGCCAGAGACAGAUAAGAGCCAGAUAGAGUAGAGACAGCUGGAAAAGAGACAGAUAGAAUAAAGCCAGAAACGGAUAGAAAAGAGCCAGAUAGAGUAGAGACAGAUACAGAUGGAAUAGAGCCAUAUAGAAUAGCGGCAGAUGGCGUAGAGACAGAUAGAGUAGAACCAGAUAGAGUCGAGACGGAUAGAAUAGAGCUAGAGACAGAAGGAAUAGAGACAGAUGGAGUUGAGCAAGACAUAGUAUAGCCAGAUAGAAUAGAACCAGAUCGAAUAGAGCCUAAUAGAUUGGAGACAGAUAGAAUAGUGCCAGAUAGAAUAGUGCCAGAUAGAAUUGAGACAGAUGAAAUAGAGACAGAUAGAAAAGAGACAGAUAAUAUAGAGCCAGAUGGAGUAGAGCCAGAUAGAAUAGAGACAGACAUAAUGAGCCAGAUGGAGAAGAGCCAGAUAGAAUAGAGACAGACAUAAUGAGCCAGAUGGAGAAGAGCCAGAUAGGUUUUUCUUUAUUUUAACUAUGUUCUUCAUUGUAGAAUAACAGUAAGACAUCAGAACUAUGAAAUAACACAUGGAAUCAUGUAGUAACCAAAAUGGUGUUAAACAAAUCAUAAAACCCUCCUGUCUCAGCCUCCAGUAUUUAUGCUGCAGUAGUUUAUGUGUCUGUCGGGGGCUAGGGUCAGUUUGUUAUAUCUGGAGUACUUCUCCUGUCUUAUCCAGUGUCCUGUGUGAAUUUAAGUAUGCUCUCUAAUUCUCUCUAAUUCUUUAUUUUUCUCUCUCUCGGAGGACCUGAGCCCUAGGACCAUGCCUCAGGACUACCUGGCAUGAGGACUCCUUGCUGUCCCCAGUCCACCUGGCCGUGCUGCUGCUCCAGUUUCAACUGUUCUGCCUGCGGCUAUGGAACCCUGACCUGUUCAACCGGACGUGCUACCUGUCCCAGACCUGCUGUUUUCAAUUCUCUAGAGACAGCAGGAACGGUAGAAAUACUCUCAAUGAUCGGCUAUGACUCGGCUAUGAAAAGUCAACUGACAUUUACUCCUGAGGUGCUGACUUGUUGCACCCUCGACAACUACUGUGAUUAUUAUUAUUUGACCCUGCUGGUCAUUUAUGAACGUUUGAACAUCUUGGCUAUGUUCUGUUAUAAUCUCCACCCGGCACAGCCAGAAGAGGACUGGCCACCCCUCAUAGCCUGGUUCCUCUCUAGGUUUCUUCCUAGGUUCUAGCCUUUCUAGUUUUUCCUAGCCACCGUGAUUCUACAUCUGCAUUGCUUGCUGUUUGUUGUUUUAGGCUGGGUUUCUGUACAGCACUUUGUCAGCUGAUAUAAGAAGGGCUUUAUAAAUAAAUGUGAUAAUUAAAGUGGAUUGAUAAUAUAUUUUAUAAUUGAGAUUCUUCAAAUAGCCACCCUUUUCCUUGAUGACAGCUUUGCACACUCUUGCCAUUCUCUCAGUUCACAGAGGAGUAUAGAGUGCAGUGAUGUGUCCUAUAAGGAGCAUUGGUGGCAAAUCUGAUGGCCGAAUGGUAAAGAACAUCUAACCGC